Molecule: ribosomal RNA, 253 nt
Filed under: uncultured bacterium
Lineage: Bacteria
Description: partial 16S ribosomal RNA
Rfam family: Bacterial small subunit ribosomal RNA
Source: RNAcentral
UACGGAGGGUGCAAGCGUUAAUCGGAAUUACUGGGCGUAAAGCGCACGCAGGUGGCUGAGAAAGUCGAUUGUGAAAGCCCUGGGCUUAACCUGGGAAUUGCAGUCGAAACUACUCGGCUAGAGUAUGGGAGAGGGUAGUGGAAUUCCCGGUGUAGCGGUGAAAUGCGUAGAUAUCGGGAGGAACAUCAGUAGCGAAGGCGGCUACCUGGCCCAAUACUGACACUCAGGUGCGACAGCGUGGGGAGCAAACAGG